Molecule: ribosomal RNA, 1247 nt
Filed under: Bacillus sp. GNTEW-13-3
Lineage: Bacteria; Bacillati; Bacillota; Bacilli; Caryophanales; Bacillaceae
Description: bacterial SSU rRNA
Rfam family: Bacterial small subunit ribosomal RNA
Source: RNAcentral
CAAGGAUGAAAGACGGUUUCGGCUGUCACUUACAGAUGGACCCGCGGCGCAUUAGCUAGUUGGUGGGGUAAUGGCUCACCAAGGCGACGAUGCGUAGCCGACCUGAGAGGGUGAUCGGCCACACUGGGACUGAGACACGGCCCAGACUCCUACGGGAGGCAGCAGUAGGGAAUCUUCCGCAAUGGACGAAAGUCUGACGGAGCAACGCCGCGUGAGUGAUGAAGCUCUCUCGGAUCGUAAAGCUCUGUUGUUAGGGAAGAACAAGUGCGAGAGUAACUGCUCGCACCUUGACGGUACCUAACCAGAAAGCCACGGCUAACUACGUGCCAGCAGCCGCGGUAAUACGUAGGUGGCAAGCGUUGUCCGGAAUUAUUGGGCGUAAAGGGCUCGCAGGCGGUUUCUUAAGUCUGAUGUGAAAGCCCCCGGCUCAACCGGGGAGGGUCAUUGGAAACUGGGAAACUUGAGUGCAGAAGAGGAGAGUGGAAUUCCACGUGUAGCGGUGAAAUGCGUAGAGAUGUGGAGGAACACCAGUGGCGAAGGCGACUCUCUGGUCUGUAACUGACGCUGAGGAGCGAAAGCGUGGGGAGCGAACAGGAUUAGAUACCCUGGUAGUCCACGCCGUAAACGAUGAGUGCUAAGUGUUAGGGGGUUUCCGCCCCUUAGUGCUGCAGCUAACGCAUUAAGCACUCCGCCUGGGGAGUACGGUCGCAAGACUGAAACUCAAAGGAAUUGACGGGGGCCCGCACAAGCGGUGGAGCAUGUGGUUUAAUUCGAAGCAACGCGAAGAACCUUACCAGGUCUUGACAUCCUCUGACAACCCUAGAGAUAGGGCUUUCCCUUCGGGGACAGAGUGACAGGUGGUGCAUGGUUGUCGUCAGCUCGUGUCGUGAGAUGUUGGGUUAAGUCCCGCAACGAGCGCAACCCUUGAUCUUAGUUGCCAGCAUUCAGUUGGGCACUCUAAGGUGACUGCCGGUGACAAACCGGAGGAAGGUGGGGAUGACGUCAAAUCAUCAUGCCCCUUAUGACCUGGGCUACACACGUGCUACAAUGGACAGAACAAAGGGCUGCAAGACCGCAAGGUUUAGCCAAUCCCAUAAAUCUGUUCUCAGUUCGGAUCGCAGUCUGCAACUCGACUGCGUGAAGCUGGAAUCGCUAGUAAUCGCGGAUCAGCAUGCCGCGGUGAAUACGUUCCCGGGCCCUUGUACACACCGCCCGUCACACCACGAGAGUUUGCAACACCCGAAGUC